RNAcentral lists this ribosomal RNA (1732 nucleotides) under Salmonella enterica subsp. enterica serovar Newport str. DC_10-449. Its description in RNAcentral is "bacterial LSU rRNA". It matches the Rfam family "Bacterial large subunit ribosomal RNA", at positions 1219 to 2925 of the family's 2925-position model. The record is from RNAcentral. Lineage: Bacteria; Pseudomonadati; Pseudomonadota; Gammaproteobacteria; Enterobacterales; Enterobacteriaceae.
GUUCGUUGGGUAGGGGAGCGUUCUGUAAGCCUGUGAAGGUGUGUCGUGAGGCAUGCUGGAGGUAUCAGAAGUGCGAAUGCUGACAUAAGUAACGAUAAAGCGGGUGAAAAGCCCGCUCGCCGGAAGACCAAGGGUUCCUGUCCAACGUUAAUCGGGGCAGGGUGAGUCGACCCCUAAGGCGAGGCCGAAAGGCGUAGUCGAUGGGAAACGGGUUAAUAUUCCCGUACUUGGUGUUACUGCGAAGGGGGGACGGAGAAGGCUAUGUUGGCCGGGCGACGGUUGUCCCGGUUUAAGCGUGUAGGUGUGUGUUCCAGGUAAAUCCGGUUCACUUUAACACUGAGGCGUGACGACGAGGCACUACGGUGCUGAAGCAACAAAUGCCCUGCUUCCAGGAAAAGCCUCUAAGCAUCAGGUAACAUCAAAUCGUACCCCAAACCGACACAGGUGGUCAGGUAGAGAAUACCAAGGCGCUUGAGAGAACUCGGGUGAAGGAACUAGGCAAAAUGGUGCCGUAACUUCGGGAGAAGGCACGCUGACACGUAGGUGAAGUGAUUUACUCAUGGAGCUGAAGUCAGUCGAAGAUACCAGCUGGCUGCAACUGUUUAUUAAAAACACAGCACUGUGCAAACACGAAAGUGGACGUAUACGGUGUGACGCCUGCCCGGUGCCGGAAGGUUAAUUGAUGGGGUCAGCGCAAGCGAAGCUCCUGAUCGAAGCCCCGGUAAACGGCGGCCGUAACUAUAACGGUCCUAAGGUAGCGAAAUUCCUUGUCGGGUAAGUUCCGACCUGCACGAAUGGCGUAAUGAUGGCCAGGCUGUCUCCACCCGAGACUCAGUGAAAUUGAACUCGCUGUGAAGAUGCAGUGUACCCGCGGCAAGACGGAAAGACCCCGUGAACCUUUACUAUAGCUUGACACUGAACAUUGAGCCUUGAUGUGUAGGAUAGGUGGGAGGCUUUGAAGCGUGGACGCCAGUCUGCAGUGGAGCCGACCUUGAAAUACCACCCUUUAAUGUUUGAUGUUCUAACGUGGACCCGUGAUCCGGGUUGCGGACAGUGUCUGGUGGGUAGUUUGACUGGGGCGGUCUCCUCCUAAAGAGUAACGGAGGAGCACGAAGGUUGGCUAAUCCUGGUCGGACAUCAGGAGGUUAGUGCAAUGGCAUAAGCCAGCUUGACUGCGAGCGUGACGGCGCGAGCAGGUGCGAAAGCAGGUCAUAGUGAUCCGGUGGUUCUGAAUGGAAGGGCCAUCGCUCAACGGAUAAAAGGUACUCCGGGGAUAACAGGCUGAUACCGCCCAAGAGUUCAUAUCGACGGCGGUGUUUGGCACCUCGAUGUCGGCUCAUCACAUCCUGGGGCUGAAGUAGGUCCCAAGGGUAUGGCUGUUCGCCAUUUAAAGUGGUACGCGAGCUGGGUUUAGAACGUCGUGAGACAGUUCGGUCCCUAUCUGCCGUGGGCGCUGGAGAACUGAGGGGGGCUGCUCCUAGUACGAGAGGACCGGAGUGGACGCAUCACUGGUGUUCGGGUUGUCAUGCCAAUGGCACUGCCCGGUAGCUAAAUGCGGAAGAGAUAAGUGCUGAAAGCAUCUAAGCACGAAACUUGCCCCGAGAUGAGUUCUCCCUGAGACUUAGAGUCUCCUGAAGGAACGUUGAAGACGACGACGUUGAUAGGCCGGGUGUGUAAGCGCAGCGAUGCGUUGAGCUAACCGGUACUAAUGAACCGUGAGGCUUAACCUUAC